CCAUGGAGACGCGUGGCUGGUCGCCCUGGCACCGCCCGCUGCGUGUGUGACGUCACGGUCUCGCCACUUGACGUCACGGGCGGGCGGUGCCGCAGGCUGGGAGGUUUCCGGGGCAGGCGCAGACCGGGGCGGCCGGCCAGGAAAUGGGCUGGCUUGGGGCAAGACGGUUUUUCCAUCUGGGUUUCCUGGGCCAAGAUGAAAAACCGGGUCGAGAACGAUGCGUCUGCCCUGGGAGCUGCCGUCUCUGCACUGACUAAGGCAAAGCCUCCAAAUCUGAACAGCCCCCCACACAGAUGAGCUUCCUAGGGAACAGCAGGCUCAGACUAAGCCCUGCACAUCCAAUGUGAUCCCGUCACUCCUUUGUUUUCUCUGUGGCAGAGGCAAACCUUGCCUUCUGUGCCCAGGAUCUCAUCCCAGCCAACUGUUCACGUUUUCACCAGGAUGGCUGCUUUUCUAUGCAGCCAGGGCUUGAUCCUGCUAUCAGAUUAACAACAAAAAACCUCCAUCAAUGUU
Microcebus murinus (gray mouse lemur) is the source of this 513-nucleotide long non-coding RNA. RefSeq lists it as uncharacterized. NCBI's taxonomy places the organism in Eukaryota, Metazoa, Chordata, Mammalia, Primates, Cheirogaleidae. The record is from RefSeq and is a predicted model, not a curated record.